This 206-nucleotide ribosomal RNA is filed under the name uncultured bacterium. RNAcentral describes it as "partial 16S ribosomal RNA". It matches the Rfam family "Bacterial small subunit ribosomal RNA", at positions 568 to 774 of the family's 1533-position model. The record is from RNAcentral.
CGUGUAGCCGGGAAGGCAAGUCAGGUGUGAAAUCCACGGGCUUAACUCGUGAACUGCAUUUGAAACUGUUUUUCUUGAGUAUCGGAGAGGCAAUCGGAGUUCCUAGUGUAGCGGUGAAAUGCGUAGAUAUUAGGAGGAACACCAGUGGCGAAGGCGGCUCUCUGGACUGUAACUGACACUGAGGCACGAAAGCGUGGGAGCAAACA